AAUAGAAUCAGGCCUUUUCCCUUCACUGAAAACAGCAUUGUGACGUAUGCUUACUGUUCAAGAUGUGACGAAUGUCUCUCACUCAAUCUGUUUGGAGGUGUUCCCUAUCACCUCAUGGUGCUCUGUGCCUGUCUUGGGGGUUUAGUGAAUACAACAGUCUUGUGCAGACGUGACGUUGCUGUGUGCUCCUGUAUGCAGGAACUGGGUGGAAGCUGUUUAGCUGAAAAAUGCUAAUGAAUUCUUUUAUCAAAGGAAACAAACAGCAUACCAGCAAGUGGUUUAUUAAUUUCUCGUUCUGGAAAGGAAGGAGGCACUACAGCAAUGAGAACAAGCUUCUCUAUGCUCAGAAGGAGUCUUUAAAAUAUUGCUUUCCAGCUGCAACAUCAGCACCUCAAAAUCUGACUGAUAUGGUGGAUCAUUCCCAGACUGCCAGAAGACUUAGAGACCUGUGAGGCCUGAGGACAAGUGAUAAAAGCUUUCCCUUCCUAAGGACUGAAGGAACAUACGUGUGGGCACGCAAAGGUUGGGAAGAACAAUGUUACCAAGCCUGUUCCUAAAGAAAAUGCACGUAGCAACACUUGGAGUACUCAAGAGCAAUUUAUGUAGCCAUCUAGAUAAAGCUACAGGAGCGAACAGUUAUGUUAAGUGCAUAAUACUGUGUUAGUCCUGCUUAUCUCAUUUCACUUACUUGACAGACAGUUCUUGUACUAGACCAGUUUGUGCUUGUGUGAAAUAAGCAGUGAGAAUAAUUCACAAUCUUUCUUCCUUAAUGUUUUUACCACCUGGAGCCAGAAGUGGGCUUUCAGCCCAAGGAACAAGGAAGCUCCUUUCAUAACUUCCUAAAAAGAUUCCGAGCACUCACUCUAUUUGACAUCAUGCUGUACACAGUACUUCUUUCAACAGAUGUAGUGGAGCUUAUUGAUGAGUACCCGCUCUACUCUUAAAACUAGGCAGUCCUGUCGUGGUCCAAAUGUACAAGUUGAAAUCAGAACUGUGUUGGGAUACUCACAGUUCUCCUUUAUUGCCUUUAUUGAAGACGAGCUUGAUUCACUACAUACUUGAGUCCUGUUCUCUGUUAAUAUUGACAACACAUUUUAAAUGUUGAAAAAAUAAACAGACAAACAAAGCAAACAAACUCACCACCACAACCUCCCACCAACAAAACAAAUGUCCACAAUACACCAUAGCGGUUAAGUAUAAGGUAUCAUCACUGUGUGUCAUUAAUGGUUUAUCAGUGGGGAUGGAUGAGCAGUAGAGGGACAGGCAUGACAGUGUAUGUUCUGGAAGACUAUCACAACCUGCAGUUCUGAAAACUUGAUGUGAGCACACUAAAGAUAAAGAGAACAAUUGGAUGAAUGUAUUACAUCAUUAUAUGUAUUCUUUUUAUUCCUAGGACUGAGAGAUUGCAAAUGGCAUCUUUCAGAAGUAAACUGAUGUGCUUACUUCAAACCGGGCUUGUACCAGAGUAAAUAUGAGUUGAGAGAACAUGAAAUGGAUUAACUAUACAAAUUAUAUACAAAAUAGAAAAUAAUGAUAAAGAAUCUAUAAUAGCAUCAACAAAAAAAAAAUGUUUUCUUCAUUUUGCCUGUAGAUGAAAGUCUUAGGAAUUAUGUUUUUUGCAUUUUAGGGUUCUCAUCCAGAAGAUACUCAAAAUGUCUUGUUCACAGGUAGUACUGGGGAAUUAAAUAUCAUUCUAAUUAGACUAUAUUGCACUAAAUCUUGAAAGAAAGAUAAUCCGCUUGUGAUUAAGAAAUUUAAUCAUUCUUUUUAUGUAAGUUAUGACUAAACUAUUAAAUUCCCCAAACUACUAAAAAUCAAGGAUUCUAAUGGAACCUGUGUUGCAGUACUAACUACAAUUGUUAGUCAUUGAGUUAAUAAUUCUGUAAGACUUAACGGUCCAUCAUUCUGUUGCUUCUACUUGCUCUAACAGGGUCUCUCACUUCUUGUUGAAUAAUACCAUGAUUUGAAUCUCCUCAAUAUAAGGGGAAAAAAAUGUCCUCCUGUGUUCACAUAACACAAAACAUUGCUCAAGAAUGAAAUCACAUGCUCAUCCUAAAUGUACUGAAAAGCAUUGGAAACCUGACUUCAUACCAGCAGGAUUUAUUCCAGAGCUUGUAUUAUCAUCCCAUGCUGCUCUAAUUUUGUGAUGGUUCAGAUAUUUUAAGUCCUCUUAGAGCCAGAAUAGGACUGCUAGAAAAGAAUAAAACUGGCAUAGAAUCUGUAGUAUGUGCUCUGAUUACUCUGACAGACGUGAUUAUGUGAUGAUAUUCAGGUUUUUACAGGCGAUCUGACAGAGCUCCAGUCUCUGGGAGACACAAGAGGGGAGAAUGCAGAAACACUGAUGCUGGGCUAAAGAAGAAAACUUCCAUGGGCCAAACCAAAUGCUGGGCUGGAAGCUCAGUUAAACUGCUUUUAAAAAUGCUUUGGGCCAGACUCUGAACACCAUUGAAUCAAUUUGUUCCUAGCAGGGGUAGGAGGAAUGAGUAACUCUUACUUCAUGACAGUACUUGAGAGUAAAAAGACGAACCACAGAGAAACCUCUGUGAUUAGGCCUCAUCAUUGUGUGAACUAAUCCUUCUGAAAGAUUCAACAUGCCUUGAAAUAGUUUGGUAACGGAAAUUCUUCUUUUAGCAGAGAAGAGGCAAUUCCUUUUGUCCAGAACUCAAUAAUUUCAUUUAGUACUUUCUUGAAAUUUCCAUCCAAUGGGCUACCUACAAGGAUCAGACUGUCUCUGCUGGAAGGACAUUUGAAUGUGUUCUGAGAGAACAGAGAAGACUCUGACAGUAACAUACUAACAAUUCUUUUUGCAUA
Molecule: non-coding RNA, 2811 nt
Organism: Meleagris gallopavo (turkey)
Lineage: Eukaryota; Metazoa; Chordata; Aves; Galliformes; Phasianidae
Source: RefSeq, a predicted model, not a curated record